GGCUUUAUAGUGUAGUGGUUAUCACACUGGAUUUUGAAGUUAUUUGACUUCCAGUGACCCAGGUUCGAACCCUGGUAAGGCCU
Transfer RNA from Pleurotus ostreatus PC15, 83 nucleotides. It matches the Rfam family "tRNA". Rfam says of the family: Transfer RNA (tRNA) molecules are approximately 80 nucleotides in length. Their secondary structure includes four short double-helical elements and three loops (D, anti-codon, and T loops). NCBI's taxonomy places the organism in Eukaryota, Fungi, Basidiomycota, Agaricomycetes, Agaricales, Pleurotaceae. The record is from Rfam.